This 3251-nucleotide long non-coding RNA is filed under the name Sus scrofa (pig). Its description in RNAcentral is "lncRNA (ENSSSCG00000044694.2)". The record is from RNAcentral. Lineage: Eukaryota; Metazoa; Chordata; Mammalia; Artiodactyla; Suidae.
GCGGGACUCAAUAUGGCGGCGCGCGCUCGGCCGCUUGACCCCGGUGUCCCCUAAAGCGGGUAAGGGAUGAAACUUUCUCAUCUCGAGUCAUGCUGUUUUCGGAAACGUAGGGAUGCGUUUUAAUCCCUAUGCGCCACCCGCGGGUCGGCCCUCACCUGCGAGUCGGCUGACCGUGAAAGACCCUCACUUGCUGUGCACCGGAAGGGCUUGGUCUUCUUGGCCUCUGUUUCCCGGAAGUGGUUUCCCUCCACCUCCUCAGGAGGGCCGGCCUUCCCUAAGGGCGGAGUCUAGGGCUUCUUUGGGACUGAAUAUGCAUUAGCUUUUGGAAGUCCAGCUAUGAUUUUCCCCUAAGCAUUGUUACAAAGGCCGGACUGCGGCUCUGGGCACCGUUCACAUCCUCGGCCGCCUUUGGCUUUGUGACCUUGGGCCGGUUGUAUAAGCUCUCUGAGCUUCCCAGGUGACUUCUCUGCAAAGUGGGCUGGUAACGCCCGAGUUGGUGCUAAAUCCUAAAGUUCAUGCUGCGAACCGGUCCCUCAACAGAUCAGCCUCUGUUUGGUCUGCUGGCAGGCCCCACGGGCUCCUGAGAGACGUGAGAAGCAGCUUUGUAUGGGAGCCACCUCUGCUCGCGUUUCCACCCAGAAUCAAAGGACUGACCAUUCUUUCAAUCCCUAAGCGGUGUCUUUUCUAUCUAAUCCUAAUAACCAAGCCUGGAGGAAUUGUAGACUUUCUGGUUAAAGGUUCAACAGGUCUCCUCGUUUAAGGAUAGAGUUAAGUCUCAGUGAAGCUACAGAGGAGAAUCUGAAAAAUGCAAAUGUUACUACCUUAACCGAAAGAGGGAGGAGGGGGCGCUUUCCUAAAUGGCCUUUACCUUGGACCUUUUCUUUCUCCUGGCAUUUGGGCUGCCAAGGAUCUUGCUUCUGCCCCACCAACACACUGAAAGCAAGAGCUCUUGACGUGAUGACUAAGGAAUAGAAUUUGGUUUUCAUUCGGAGACAGCUGAUUCUGAAGCCAUCUUAAAGCCUAAGCAUAGCACAACUGCAUUCAUGAUUCUAUGAAUUCUUCCUACCAUUGGAACUUAGGGAAGGGGAGAGGAAGUGUGCAUCUAGGAAAUGUGGAAGGACACGCUCUUCCUUCUUUCAUCCUUCCGCUGCCUUCUAACUCUGUGGUCGAGUGUGGUCUUCCCAGGAGAGCAUCUUCCAGGAAACUUAUUAGAAAGGAAGAACCCCAGGCCUCAUUUCACAUCUGAAGCAGAGUCUGCCUUGUAGCCGACUCCUCAGCCAUUGCUAGGCAUGCUAAAGUUGACGAGGCCGUGGUUUAACUCCUGGGGUGGUCUGGUUUAAAGUGAUGAGAUGGCAUCAAAGAUGACGGAAGGACAGAGUCAGCAGAGCCAGAAUUUGGGGCAGUGGAGGCAGAGCACCUAUUUCCUGCAUUUGGGCACUGCCAGCAGGUUGAUUCAGAAGAUGGGUGAAAAAUUUGUUCCUGGGGUAGCAGGAGGAGCAUCACGACUUUGGAAUCGUUUGCUUAAAAGAAGGAUGAGCUUGGCUGUUCAUACCAUACAUCCCGGAGGUCUUCAGCAAGGUGAGGUUCCUCUGACCAAGAAGCCGGCUGCCUAGAUGCGCUAAGCACAGCUCCCUCGCAUAUUCUGGUGUCAUGCUCCAUCAUAAGUGACUAGACAUAGUUCCAGUGCUACCCAGCAGGAUCUCAUUGCUCAUGCAUUCCAAAGGCAAGAGUCUGCAUCUCAAAAAAUCAAAUACCUGGGAAUACACCUGACCAAGGAGCCCCCUUUCCACCAGUGUGAUUGGGGAGCCGAAAUGUCUGCACAGCACCGUCUCUAGCUCUUGAGAGUGUUCCGGGAAGAGUAACUGCCAUCCGUAUUUGCAGGAUGGAAAAAGAUGUAUCAGAGAUGCAAAGGCAGGUGAUCCUGGUGGCAGGAACUCUCCCCCAGGCCCCAGGUGGCUUCGGUAAAUAUCUAUAAAAGGAGUGUCUCGUGCAUGAACGAGGGACUCUUCACAAGCAAACACAGGUCCCUGACGGGGUGUGAGCCCUGUGGUUCUUCAUGAUCUGAAACACACCAUUCAUUCCAUGGAAAUAUCUGCCCUCUGACCUCUUUCAGGGCAACAGGAUUUCCCAGUUACAGACCUUGGAUUUGGAUAGGUAGGUUAUGAGUAAAGAUGACGGAAUGUUCUAUUUGGAAAGGACUUCAUUUGUCCAACCCAGCUGUCUGCCCGGUUGGGAGAUGGUCUGUCCAAAAACCCUCCGGAGACCUUCCUUCGAGAACGAGGAACGCCUUCGCCUCUGAGCCUGUUGCUUGCAGCUUUGAACAGAUUGAAAGCUCCUCCUUGCUCUGAAACAGCUCUCUCUCAAAUGCCCCUGCCUUACCUCUUGGGCUGUCGUUGCCACCUGCAACGUGAGAAGUUUUCUGAAUGAAACAACUUGUGUCAAAUGAGGAUGGUUACUGUGUCUCCAGGCCAGGCCUUUGCUGCAUUGCCUUUUCCUGCAUCUCGUUUCCAGCGGAGGGCAUCCUCUGCUCCAGCUGUUAGUUCACCCCUCAGAACAUCUGUCCAAAUGGUUAAUACUUGUGUCAACUGGCUUGAAGCGGAGAAUAGCACCCCCUGGAGAGUCUAAAGAUGAGGAGUGAGUGGCAGCUAGUACUUCUUUAUUCUUUUCCGAGUUCCUAGUUUCAUUAAUGAAGUCAGAAUUGCAUUAGCUUUUGAGACAGUAAUUACACUGUCGAUGUAUGCUGAACUCACGGUGAGGUAAUUUUUUCAAGUAACUUUAUAUACGACUCUCCCACAUCUAAUAUUUAUGGAUUUGACUUUUUAAAUGGUAAAUACAAGGCUUUGUACAUUUUACCUUUAUGUUAAAAUAAUGUCUAUGAGUAAAAUAAUGUUUUGGAAAAUCAAGUCAAAAAUUUAUACACAAUAUUAUGGGGAUAGAGUUAUUUAUCCUUUUUAUUGUUAUUUGGGGGUUUCUGUUAACAUUGAUAUAAUAUUUGGGCCCUCACAUUAAAAAAAAAAAAAUCAGAGAAUUCACAUUGUGGCUCAAAGGAUUAAGGACCCAACUUUGUCUCUGUGAGGUUGUGAUUCAAUCCCCGCCUUGCUCAGUGGGUUAAGGAUCUGGCAUUGCCGCAAGUUGGGGCAUAGGUCGAAUGUGGUUCGGAUUUGGUAAUUGCUGUGGCUGCGGGGAAGGCCUGCAGCUGCAGCUCUGAUUCAACCCCUGGCCCAGGAACUUCCAUAUGCCACUGGCACAGC